RNAcentral lists this ribosomal RNA (813 nucleotides) under Fusarium solani. RNAcentral describes it as "eukaryotic LSU rRNA". It matches the Rfam family "Eukaryotic large subunit ribosomal RNA", at positions 76 to 919 of the family's 3401-position model. The record is from RNAcentral. Lineage: Eukaryota; Fungi; Ascomycota; Sordariomycetes; Hypocreales; Nectriaceae.
UGCCCCAGUAACGGCGAGUGAAGCGGCAACAGCUCAAAUUUGAAAUCUGGCUCUCGGGCCCGAGUUGUAAUUUGUAGAGGAUGCUUUUGGUGAGGUGCCUUCCGAGUUCCCUGGAACGGGACGCCAUAGAGGGUGAGAGCCCCGUCUGGUUGGACGCCGAACCUCUGUAAAGCUCCUUCGACGAGUCGAGUAGUUUGGGAAUGCUGCUCUAAAUGGGAGGUAUAUGUCUUCUAAAGCUAAAUACCGGCCAGAGACCGAUAGCGCACAAGUAGAGUGAUCGAAAGAUGAAAAGAACUUUGAAAAGAGAGUUAAACAGUACGUGAAAUUGUUGAAAGGGAAGCGCUUGUGACCAGACUUGGGCUUGGUUGAUCAUCCGGGGUUCUCCCCGGUGCACUCUUCCGGCCCAGGCCAGCAUCAGUUCGCCCUGGGGGACAAAGGCAUCGGGAACGUGGCUCUCUCCGGGGAGUGUUAUAGCCCGUUGCGUAAUACCCUGUGGCGGACUGAGGUUCGCGCAUUCGCAAGGAUGCUGGCGUAAUGGUCAUCAGUGACCCGUCUUGAAACACGGACCAAGGAGUCGUCUUCGUAUGCGAGUGUUCGGGUGUCAAACCCCUACGCGAAAUGAAAGUGAACGCAGGUGAGAGCUUCGGCGCAUCAUCGACCGAUCCUGAUGUUUUCGGAUGGAUUUGAGUAAGAGCAUACGGGGCCGGACCCGAAAGAAGGUGAACUAUGCCUGUGUAGGGUGAAGCCAGAGGAAACUCUGGUGGAGGCUCGCAGCGGUUCUGACGUGCAAAUCGAUCGUCAAACAUGGGCAUG